UUAUAUCAUACUUGUAUAUUCGUAAAGCGAUGCGUUUAUAAGUCUCACUUUCCAAUUUGUAAACACAGAGAGAUAAGAAAGAAACUCACCUUAACUUAGCUAUUCAAGAACAUAUACAUACUUCAGUAAAUAUUCGAGGUUUGAAAAAGUCGGGUGAUCUCAGCCCAAUUUUUUAGGCUUAUUCGAGACAAAGAUGUCAGAUGCUAAGAUUAAUUAUACAUAAUAAAGUACAUAUACUCACUGCAUCUGGAAUCUCAUGAUAUUGCAAAAGAUGCAUGUAUGUUGCUGUGGACUGUACAGGAAUGGUUUGUACGAAUGGUCGUUUUACAUGCCAAAGCCAUCGAUUAUGGUAUAAGUAUCUAGACAAACUAGUCGUCAAAGUUCCACCUAACAUUGGUGUAAGUCUCGUUGAAAUAGUCUGAGCCGCAUCGGGGAAUACAAUUAAACUCAAAUCAGUUGGCAUUCUCUCGUAUCUAAUUAAUAUCUUCUCUAAAGAUUUAUGGACAAUGGUGCAAGAAGGUAUUUCUUUUUGUUCUGUAGGUCUAUUUGGUAAAGUAAGUUUAGACAAUCGAUCUAAAAGAUCGACGACAACAUUAUGUCGAACAACUCCUUCUGUUCCAGCUGCGAAUGCGAUAUUAAGAAU
Molecule: unclassified non-coding RNA, 643 nt
Filed under: Bombus terrestris (buff-tailed bumblebee)
Lineage: Eukaryota; Metazoa; Arthropoda; Insecta; Hymenoptera; Apidae
Description: misc RNA ENSBTSG00005035082.1
Source: RNAcentral